UGGGGAAUAUUGCACAAUGGGCGCAAGCCUGAUGCAGCCAUGCCGCGUGUAUGAAGAAGGCCUUCGGGUUGUAAAGUACUUUCAGUCGGGAGGAAGGUGUCAAGGUUAAUAACCUUGGCAAUUGACGUUACCGACAGAAGAAGCACCGGCUAACUCCGUGCCAGCAGCCGCGGUAAUACGGAGGGUGCAAGCGUUAAUCGGAAUUACUGGGCGUAAAGCGCACGCAGGCGGUUGAUUGAGUCAGAUGUGAAAUCCCCGGGCUUAACCCGGGAAUUGCAUCUGAUACUGGUCAGCUAGAGUCUUGUAGAGGGGGGUAGAAUUCCAUGUGUAGCGGUGAAAUGCGUAGAGAUGUGGAGGAAUACCGGUGGCGAAGGCGGCCCCCUGGACAAAGCCUGACGCUCAGGUGCGAAAGCGUGGGGAGCAAACAGG
RNAcentral lists this ribosomal RNA (429 nucleotides) under Chloroflexota bacterium. RNAcentral describes it as "Chloroflexi bacterium partial 16S ribosomal RNA". It matches the Rfam family "Bacterial small subunit ribosomal RNA", at positions 355 to 776 of the family's 1533-position model. Lineage: Bacteria; Bacillati; Chloroflexota. The record is from RNAcentral.